UGAUGGCGACCGGCGCACGGGUGAGUAACACGUAUCCAACCUGCCGAUAACUCCGGAAUAGCCUUUCGAAAGAAAGAUUAAUACCGGAUAGCAUACGAAUAUCGCAUGAUAUUUUUAUUUAAAGAAUUUCGGUUAUCGAUGGGGAUGCGUUCCAUUAGUUUGUUGGCGGGAUAACGGCCCACCAAGACUACGAUGGAUAGGGGUUCUGAGAGGAAGGUCCCCCACAUUGGAACUGAGACACGGUCCAAACUCCUACGGGAGGCAGCAUG
Molecule: ribosomal RNA, 269 nt
Filed under: uncultured bacterium
Lineage: Bacteria
Description: partial 16S ribosomal RNA
Rfam family: Bacterial small subunit ribosomal RNA
Source: RNAcentral